AUUGGCGUGGGGGUGGGGAAUGGGACGAAAUAAGUGACCGUGACACUACGAUUUAGCGACCGCCUAUGAGUUUAGCAGCUCUCGCGUGUAGUUGCCGCCCUCUACUUUCAAUUCCACAACCCCGAGAGAAAAUCCCAGAAGCACACGCUCACAAGCUCGACGAUGGAGGCAGUGGUUGUAGAUGCUGGUUCUAAAAUCCUUAAAGCCGGUUUUGCGGUUCCCGACCACCCUCCUUCUAUGAUGAUUCCAACUCAGAUGAAAUGCCUGCCUGGAGAUGAGUCCUCUACUGAUGAUUCCUUGCAUGAGGUAAUUGUUGAUCCUGUUGUCCGAGGCUUUAUCAGCGACUGGGAUGCCAUGGAAGAUUUGUUAGACCAUGUUCUUUAUAAUGGUCUUGGAUGGGAAAUUGGAAACGAAGGGCAAAUUUUAUUUGCAGAUCCACUUUCAAAUCCGAAGGCUGCAAGAGAACAGUUGGUGCAGUUGAUGUUUGAACGGUUUAACAUCUCAGGCUUUUACGCAUCUGACCAAGCAGUAUUAUCACUUUAUGCAGUAGGACGCAUCUCAGGCUGCACUGUGGAUAUUGGACAUGGCAAGAUGGAUAUUGCAACUGUAAUUGAAGGUGCGGUUCAGCAGAUAUCUUCAAGAAGAUUUGAACUAGGUGGGUUGGAUUUGACGAACCUUCUUGCACAAGAACUUGGUAAAUCCAAUCCUCUUGUGAACCUUAGCAUAUCUGAUGUUGAGAAAAUAAAGGAGCAAUAUGCAUGUUGUGCUGAUGAUGACGAGGCUUAUGAGAAACUCCAGCUGUCAUGCCCAGAGGAGCAACACACACUACCUGAUGGACAGGUGAUAAAAAUUGGAAGAGAAAGAUAUACUGUUGGGGAGGCCUUAUUCCAACCAUCUAUUUUGGGUCUACAGGCACAUGGAGUCGUUGAACAGCUGGUUCAUUGUAUUUCAAAUGUGUCAUCCGAGAAUCACCGACAGCUGCUGGAAAAUACUGUACUUUGUGGUGGAACUGCUUCCAUGAGUGGUUUUGAAGAUAGAUUUCAGAAAGAAGCUAGUCUUUGCUCCUCAGCUAUUCGUCCUUGUGUUGUCAAGGGGCUAUGCAGUCCAGGUGAAAGUUAGAAAUAUUGCCACAUAGAUGACAGUAAGUGGUGACAACGAGAAGGCCUUUGAGAUAUCACCGAGCUUCCUAUCAAUCCCGGUGCUUUGGAUCCCAUUGGAUUUGAUUUGGAGAAUGAGCCUUAAAAUGAUCAUAUUGAUUCUCAUCCAAAAUAUUGGUGAUGCUCAUUUCCUUAAAGCAAUCUGAUGGAUAGAUUAAGGAGAACGGAGGAAGACUAGUAUCUAACCAUAAUCAAAAGCCUCCAGAAUAUAUGCCGGAGAAUUUAAGCAAGUUUUCUGCAUGGGUGGGAGGUGCAAUAAUAGCCAAAGUAGUGUUUCCUCAAAAUCAACAUGUGACCAAAGCAGAUUACGAUGAAACUGGGCCUUCUAUUGUUC
This is an RNA transcript of Olea europaea var. sylvestris, 1491 nucleotides long. It is a transcript of the gene named actin-related protein 7, with no coding region annotated. NCBI's taxonomy places the organism in Eukaryota, Viridiplantae, Streptophyta, Magnoliopsida, Lamiales, Oleaceae. The record is from RefSeq and is a predicted model, not a curated record. The transcript is spliced from 8 exons.